RNAcentral lists this ribosomal RNA (273 nucleotides) under uncultured bacterium. RNAcentral's name for it is "partial 16S ribosomal RNA". It matches the Rfam family "Bacterial small subunit ribosomal RNA", at positions 524 to 796 of the family's 1533-position model. The record is from RNAcentral.
GACGGAGGGCGCGAGCGUUGUUCGGAAUUACUGGGCGUAAAGCGCGCGCAGGCGGGUGGGGAAGUCGGGAGUGAAAGGCCGGGGCUCAACCCCGGAGCGGCUUCCGAUACUCUCUGCCUGGGGACCGGUAGAGGCCGGCGGAAUUCCCGGUGUAGCGGUGGAAUGCGUAGAGAUCGGGAAGAACACCCGUGGCGAAGGCGGCCGGCUGGGCCGGAUCCGACGCUGAGGCGCGAAAGCGUGGGGAGCAAACAGGAUUAGAUACCCCAGUAGUCC